RNAcentral lists this ribosomal RNA (1339 nucleotides) under uncultured bacterium. RNAcentral's name for it is "partial 16S ribosomal RNA". It matches the Rfam family "Bacterial small subunit ribosomal RNA", at positions 28 to 1380 of the family's 1533-position model. The record is from RNAcentral.
GACGAACGCUGGCGGCGUGCUUACACAUGCAAGUCGAACGGUAAGGCUCCAGCUUGCUGGGGUACACGAGUGGCGAACGGGUGAGUAACACGUGGGUGACCUGCCCUGCACUCCGGGAUAAGCCUGGGAAACUGGGUCUAAUACCGGAUAGGACCGCACCGUGAGGGUGUGGUGGAAAGUUUUUUCGGUGUGGGAUGGGCCCGCGGCCUAUCAGCUUGUUGGUGGGGUAAUGGCCUACCAAGGCGGCGACGGGUAGCCGGCCUGAGAGGGUGGACGGCCACAUUGGGACUGAGACACGGCCCAGACUCCUACGGGAGGCAGCAGUGGGGAAUAUUGCACAAUGGGCGGAAGCCUGAUGCAGCGACGCCGCGUGGGGGAUGACGGCCUUCGGGUUGUAAACUCCUUUCACCAUCGACGAAGGGUUUCUGACGGUAGAUGGAGAAGAAGCACCGGCUAACUACGUGCCAGCAGCCGCGGUAAUACGUAGGGUGCGAGCGUUGUCCGGAAUUACUGGGCGUAAAGAGCUCGUAGGUGGUUUGUCGCGUCGUCUGUGAAAUUCCGGGGCUUAACUCCGGGCGUGCAGGCGAUACGGGCAUAACUUGAGUACUGUAGGGGAGACUGGAAUUCCUGGUGUAGCGGUGAAAUGCGCAGAUAUCAGGAGGAACACCGGUGGCGAAGGCGGGUCUCUGGGCAGUAACUGACGCUGAGGAGCGAAAGCAUGGGGAGCGAACAGGAUUAGAUACCCUGGUAGUCCAUGCCGUAAACGGUGGGCGCUAGGUGUGGGUUUCCUUCCACGGGAUCCGUGCCGUAGCUAACGCAUUAAGCGCCCCGCCUGGGGAGUACGGCCGCAAGGCUAAAACUCAAAGGAAUUGACGGGGGCCCGCACAAGCGGCGGAGCAUGUGGAUUAAUUCGAUGCAACGCGAAGAACCUUACCUGGGCUUGACAUAUACAGGAUCGCGCCAGAGAUGGUGUUUCCCUUGUGGCUUGUAUACAGGUGGUGCAUGGUUGUCGUCAGCUCGUGUCGUGAGAUGUUGGGUUAAGUCCCGCAACGAGCGCAACCCUUGUCUUAUGUUGCCAGCACGUUGUGGUGGGGACUCGUAAGAAACUGCCGGGGUUAACUCGGAGGAAGGUGGGGAUGACGUCAAAUCAUCAUGCCCCUUAUGUCCAGGGCUUCACACAUGCUACAAUGGUCGGUACAGUGGGUUGCCAGUCCGUGAGGGCGAGCUAAUCCCGCAAAGCCGGUCUCAGUUCGGAUCGGGGUCUGCAACUCGACCCCGUGAAGUCGGAGUCGCUAGUAAUCGCAGAUCAGCAACGCUGCGGUGAAUACGUUCCCGGGCC